RNAcentral lists this non-coding RNA (24 nucleotides) under Arabidopsis thaliana (thale cress). Lineage: Eukaryota; Viridiplantae; Streptophyta; Magnoliopsida; Brassicales; Brassicaceae. The record is from RNAcentral.
GAAUAAUAUCUUCUUGCCAUAUCU